This 497-nucleotide ribosomal RNA is filed under the name uncultured bacterium. RNAcentral's name for it is "partial 16S ribosomal RNA". It matches the Rfam family "Bacterial small subunit ribosomal RNA", at positions 28 to 507 of the family's 1533-position model. The record is from RNAcentral.
GAUGAACGCUGGCGGCGUGCCUAAUACAUGCAAGUCGAGCGAACAGACGAGGAUCUUGCUCCUCUGACGUUAGCGGCGCACGGGUGAGUAACACGUGGAUAACCUCCCUAUCAGACUGGGAUAACUUCGGGAACCCGGAGCUAAUACCAAAUAAUAUAUUCAACCGCAUGGUUCACUAGUGAAAGACGGUUUUGCUGUCACUUUUAGAUGGUUCCGCGCCGCAUUAGAGAGUUGGUAAGGUAACGGCUUACCAAGGCAACGAUGCGUAGCCGACCUGAGAGGGGGAUCGGCCACACUGCAACUGAGACACGGGCCAGACUCCUACGGGAGGCAGCAGUAGGGAAUCUGCCGCAAUGGGCGAAAGCCUGACGGAGCAACGCCGCGUGAGUGAUGAAGGUCUUCGGAUCGUAAAACGCUGUUAUUAGGGAAGAACAAAUGUGUAAGUAACUAUGCACGUCUUGACGGUACCUAAUCAGAAAGCCACGGCUAACUACGUG